UGUACCUUUGCAGCCGCUUUGGAAAAGGGAAUGCCGUGAAAAUCGGCAACAGUACCCGCUGCUGUAUGCCCGACGUAACGGUCUGUCAAUCAAGCCACUGUCGAGAGAUGGGAAGGCGACAGACUCGGGCGAGUCAGAAGACCUUGCCAGG
Molecule: non-coding RNA, 151 nt
Filed under: bovine gut metagenome
Source: RNAcentral